RNAcentral lists this long non-coding RNA (19859 nucleotides) under Citrus sinensis (sweet orange). Its description in RNAcentral is "long non-coding RNA (CSIN_LNC000540)". Lineage: Eukaryota; Viridiplantae; Streptophyta; Magnoliopsida; Sapindales; Rutaceae. The record is from RNAcentral.
GAACGAUCUCACAUUAUGGGAAUCUUUCGGCGGGUUGAAGUUUUGGGACUAUCUGAACCAGAACACUGCAUUAACCAAGCGGUUCAACCAAGCAAUGGAAAGCGAUUCUGAAAUGGCAACCUUGAUUGUCAAAGACUGCAAGCCAAUCUUUCAAGGGUUGCGCUCCCUGGUUGAUGUAGGAGGUGGAACGGGUGCAUUCGCGAGAAUCAUAUCUGAAGCAUUCCCCGGCAUCAAGUGCACAGUACUUGACCUCCCACAUGCGGUCACUGACAUGCCUCAGACUGACAACUUGAAGUACGUAGUGGGUGAUAUGUUUCAGUUUAUUCCUGCGGCAGACGCCUUUUUCUUCAAGGUAAAAGAAACACACACACGAGCGCCUUCUAAAUAGGGUUCUUGUGCUUUAUGAAAAUGUGGGAACGACUUUUUAACGUUCCCGCACUUUAAUGAACUACAGAAAUCUCUCAUUGAAUAUAUAUAUAUAUAUAGUCAUUAUAUUAUAUAUAUAUACAUUGGAAGAUGGUGUAUGCAUAUGCGUGAAAUAAUUUUAUGUAAUGGUGGGUAUUAAUUAUUAAAUGGGUGAUUGGCAUGCAGACGGUUUUUCAUUUAUUUGAUGACGAGGAUUGCUUGAAGCUAUUGAAGGAAUGCAGAGAAGCUAUCGCAAGCAAUGGCGAGAGAGGAAAGGUAUUAAUCGUCGAUAUUGUAAUCAAUGAAAAGGAAGAUGACCGUGAAUUAACAGAAGCAAAGCUCUUGUUUGACACUUUGAUGAACUUUAAUGUUGGUGGAAGAGAGAGAACUGAGCAAGAAUGGGAAAGUCUUUUCGUGAAUGCCGGUUUCACUCACUACAAAGUAGCUCCGAUAUUUGGUAUCAAGUCCCUCAUUGAAGUCUAUCCGUAAAGAAUUGAUUAGUCGCCCCAGUGUUCGAUAUUUGGCAGCAAAUAAUUUCCUACACGCUCAUGCAAUCGUCGAAAUAAAUUUAGGAACAAAGGAUUUGUACUCUGUUAUUGCUCCGAAUAUCUGCUUCUGAUGUUUUGAUUUCGCUAAUAAAUUCAGUAUCUUUCUCAAGUUUAUGUAAUUGAGAAGAAGAAAUUUAUAAAUCUAAGAUUUUAGAUGGCGUGGGCAAAAUCAGGUUCGGAUCGGGUUCAGAUUAACCUACCAUAUUUCGGGUUAAUCUGGUUUUAAAGAAAAGAGUCACUCGAACUCAAUCCGACUUUUGGAUUUUUUUAAUUUAUCUAGCUUCUUUGAUCUGGUUUGCUGAAACUUAUGCCCUAUAUCAGUAGUUUCGUUCUAUAUUUGCUUGAGUUUGUGGAAUUCAGAUUGGAUGUCAAGUAUUUAUGUCAUUUCAUCGUUCAAUUCUAGUUUUAUUUUUAUUUAUUUAUUUUUGAGUGACCUGCUGAUGCAUAAGUUUGGAUCCUGUACAUUGGUACCUAAUUGCUAAUGUCUGAUGAAAUUUUUCGAAGUAGAGACUUCAAAUUGUUUGAUGGAAUGCCGAUAAAAAAUGAAUACAAUCCAAAUCUGAUAGAAACUUGAUUGGUGAAGCAAACGCGUAAUUAAAGUGAAAUUGAGAAAUAAUGAGACAACAAAAUCCCACAAGGAUACCAGAAAUUUACGUGGUUCAGUUUUUAACCUACAUCUACAGGCGAAAAUAGAAGAAAAAUAUUUUACUUGUGAAAUGAGGGUUACAAAUAUUGUAAUAUUUUGAUUCACAACCCCAAUACACCCAAUCUUUCAAAUCACUUAAUCACUAAAGAACUUUAUAAUUUCAAUCUCUUUAAACUCUCUCUCUAAAUACAAUAAAUGCUUCUCAAAAUUGGGAUAAUUUAGCUCUCUCUCAGCACUCUAGGAAAGAUAAUGGCCAAAAGUCAGCAAUUACAGCUCAAAAAUUCAAGCAUUACAGCUAACAAUUAUGGCAAAAAAUUUAGCAAUUUUUCACCACCAGCUAAGCACCGAAUUUGGUGCUUGAAAUGUCAAAGUCAAGCACCAAUUCGGUGCUGACUUUAACAAAAACUACCCUUGCUUUGCAAUUUCUAUUGGAGUUUUAUUUCAAGGAAGCCCUGCUGCUACUUGUAGGUAAUAAUCUAUUGAAUUAUAUAAUGAGUUGAUGUUUCCAUAAUUCUCUUAGAGAUGCAUUUACAUAAUUUAUUUUUUGAAACGGGUUAUUACUUAAAUUACUAUCCUAAAUCUUCCAGUCAUGCUAAUCCAGUGUUUCUUGCUCCAAACUAUCGGUUCAGCACAAAGUGAAAGGCUGAAAAGUUUUAGCGCUUACACGACGAAGGUUUUACAGCAUGGUCUUUUGACUAAAGCUAAUAUUUCCUGUUACAUUUGUUAUCCUCAGUUUCUUGUUGCAAUUAAAAGUUGAGGACCCUGCGUCUCCCAUCCGCUAUCAUGUUAUUUAUGUUCGACGCCACUAGAUUAGCUAAGUGAUUUUCAACUUUUGGUACGGGAGUGAAUCACAAGAUUUUGGAUUCCCUCUUGUUUGUGGUACUUUCUUUUUCUUUUCCCCCUUAAUAUAUAACAUUAAUAAUGAUGCUUCAUCUAGCCCUGCAAGCACUUUUUUUUUUUUGGAUUCAUUUGACUUUCAUUUAUUUCAUGUUAAUCUUUUGCUUAUAUUAGAUCGUCGAUUUCCGAAUUGCUUAGGGACAUAUAAUUAUAAUAAGUAAUAAUUAUGGGCGUACUAUGGAGAUCUUAGCAACUAGCAGCUUUGCGGGCAAAAGUCAAUUCUCAGAAGCUAUCAGUGAAGUUGGUGUUGAGGCACGUUCAAAUGGACAGAUUUUGGAGAUACGAAAUCUCAAGGUGUUCAAUUUUUUGGAUUUGAAGUCUGCAACCAAGAACUUCAAGCCUGAUAUUUUGUUGGGUGAAGGUGGUUUUGGGAUAAUGUACUGAGGUGGUUGCUAUUAAGAAAUUGAAGAAUGGCAGGUGUUUCUUUUUAAUUUACUCUUUCGAUUCUUAUUGAAAAGUCGAACUUUUAGGCAUCCGAAACAGAAUUUAAACUAAUUAAGAAAAAUGAUUAUUGUGGGUUAAUUGGAUUAAUUUUUUUGAACCCAAUUAAUAAUUGAGUUAGGGUUGGAUCAAUAACGAUGAACCCACCUAACUCAACCCAAUUCAUAUAAAUAAUAAUAAAAAUAUGGUACCAAAGACCUAAACGGUUAAUCUAAUUUUUAACUCUUUUUAUUAUUAUAUAAGAGAGACAAUUUCAUUCUCAUAUAUACUACUCUAUUUUCUAAUUGCAAAAUUAAAAUCACGCUCUCAUAUAAGUAAAUAUAUUAUCUUAUAAGUUUAAUUUUGAAAGUAAGUUAGUUUCAGUUUAUAGUUAUUUUUUAGUAAAUACUUAAUGGUACAUAAUUAUAUAUCACUUCAUUUUGUUAUGGGAUACGAUGCUAACUAAUUAUCUAAAAGGUCUGGAUUUGAAAUUUGAAAAAAAGACGCGGGAAACGAGAAUAAAGUCUCGAAGCUCAUUGUUGAAAUUUUUUUAAUUUGAUUUUAAUAAGAUAGUUGGUCUUUUAGCUUUCUUUAUCGAACACUAAAUAGUGAAUAAAUUUUCAUGUCAUGAUAGAUUUAUGUUUAAUUUUAAGAAGUUCCAUUUCAAAUUUCAUGUCUUUUUCUUUAUUUAGCUUUUAAUUUUAAUAUGGCUCAGAACCCGAUCAAACCAGCCCAACCGAACCCAACCUUACGAUUUAAGGGUUAGAUUGGAUUGAGUUAAAUAUAUUUAUUUAGUUGGGUUAGAUUGAUUUUAUCUCAACCUAUUCAACAGUUGAGUUGGAUUUUCACAAACUCUAUCCAACUGGUCAACUCAUGCCCACUCUUAUGAGCUAUUGAGCCAAGCAAUUUUUUUUGUCCCUUUUAUGACUUUUCAAAUAUCAAGAUCAAUGGACAUAAUUACCUAAAAUAUUUUAAGCAUAGGAAAAUUAUUUGCAUCUUAAAAUAUAUUGUGAACACACUGUUAUUGGCUCACCAUUUUGAAGAAGUUUUUAAACAUACUUUCACUAAUCCCAAAAAUAGUCCUUAAUAUAAUCAAAUCCCCCUAGUCACUUUAGCAUGUUCUUCUUCAAUAAUUCAUCAUUUUCUUCUAAAAUAAUCUAUUACAAAUUCAUGAAAUAGAAAGAGCAAAUAGAAGAAAAUCAAUAAAAACGACCAAUUGUGGCAUGGACUCAUUUUGGCAUAGAUUAAUUGUUUCAAGUGAGUAAGAAAAUGAUGUUCAAGAAGAAACGGUAGAUCCCGCGAGUGUUAAAAGUAAACAGUACUUUAUUUAAAAAAANNNNNNNNNNNNNNNNNNNNNNNNNNNNNNNNNNNNNNNNNNNNNNNNNNNNNNNNNNNNNNNNNNNNNNNNNNNNNNNNNNNNNNNNNNNNNNNNNNNNNNNNNNNNNNNNNNNNNNNNNNNNNNNNNNNNNNNNNNNNNNNNNNNNNNNNNNNNNNNNNNNNNNNNNNNNNNNNNNNNNNNNNNNNNNNNNNNNNNNNNNNNNNNNNNNNNNNNNNNNNNNNNNNNNNNNNNNNNNNNNNNNNNNNNNNNNNNNNNNNNNNNNNNNNNNNNNNNNNNNNNNNNNNNNNNNNNNNNNNNNNNNNNNNNNNNNNNNNNNNNNNNNNNNNNNNNNNNNNNNNNNNNNNNNNNNNNNNNNNNNNNNNNNNNNNNNNNNNNNNNNNNNNNNNNNNNNNNNNNNNNNNNNNNNNNNNNNNNNNNNNNNNNNNUGGAUCUAUCUUAAUAUCUAAAUCCAUAUCCAUAUCCACUCAUCUUUUAAUUUUAUUUUAUUUUAAAAGUUUCUUAACAAUUGUGGAAUUAUAAUGAUAAUAAAUUUUAUUCAUAGCAUACUAGUAGUAUUUACCAUGCAUUUAAACUCUUAAAAUUUAAAGGUUAGUUUUGUAAAUUUAAAGGUCAACCAGCCCCAAAGCAUGUACAUGUAAUAUUCAAAUUGGAAGCCAAGUAAUAUAAUCUGGCAAUUUAUUUUAUUAUAUUGGCCAAAUAAUUUUUAAGGAAUAUAGUUAUUCAUAUAUUUAGUCAAAUAUGGUCAUAAUAAAAAUAAUAAAGGACUGAAUAUAAAUCAUAUUUAAUUUAUAUCUCAUUAUCUAAUGUUGUAGGAAUAAGGGUAGGUGUAUCAUGGAUAUUAGAAUGAUGAAGGAGACAAUAGAAUAUUAGAUUGAUCUUACUCAUGCAAUUACUUCGGAAUGAUAUUUUAUUAUCUUUCUUAUUUGUUGUUUUGGUGUAAAAGUAUAAGCUACAAUAUUUAUUAUAUUUUUGAGAAAAAAUAUAUAAUUAAUUUGUUAUCAAUACAUUUUAGCCUUCAAUUUUCAAUCUAAAAAAUUAUUACUUUUUUAUUAUUGAAUUUUAGAAUUCAUGACGGACUAGAGCAGAUUUGGAUUUUAUUUUUUUUUUUUCGGAUUUGGAGCAGAUAUAUAUAUUUAUUUCUUUUUUGGAUCUGGAUAUGGAGCGAAAAAUAUGGAUUCAUGACGGAUUUGGAGCAGAUACGGAUCUUUAUUUUUAUUAUAAAUUUGGAUUUUGAGCAAAGUAGAUCCAACCCAUAUCUGCCCCAUUGCCAUCCCUACACUUAUAUAAUAAAAAAUCUAUAAUAUCUUUAGUAUUUCUUAAGAUUAUUAUUUAGAAAUCAUAUUUAUUACAUAUUAUUUAUUUUUAUUUAUAAAUAUAAUAUUUUUUUUAAUCAAUAACCAUCAGUUUUAAGCUACACAACCUCAACAGUGCCUUAAGAUCAAUUUUCCUACAUUGUACAACUUCUAGUAACUCUCAGUACGAAUACAUAUUGUUAUUAUAUGGAUUACUAUGUUGACCCGCAUUGCGGAUAUACAGUAUACCGCUAUUAAAUAAUAUGUAAUAUAUAUUAUUUACAUAUUAUAUAUUAAAUAAUUAAUCCUUUGGAGAGCAUUAAUUAUGGGUGAAGCUACCCAUUUUGGUUGCAUAUCCGUUCACCUUGAUCCUCUCCUAAUUUUCCCUUUUCUUGCAUAUCCGAUAUCCGCGCAAUCAUCUGUUAUAAUUUAAUUUAACCCUAACCAAUAAAUCCAUGACUGACCAAGAUUUUACUCUUUACUAACGGCCAAUUAAUGAUUAUAUUAAUAAUCUUUAUCACGUAAAAAAAAAAAUUCCAUAAUUUGUCAAAUACUUAAAACUGCAUAUAAACAAGUUAAAUAACCAUCUUGGAACACGAUGGAGAGAUAAGCAACCUAAGUUUCAGUUAUAUAUCUGAUUGUAAAUAUCAAUGUAAUGUCUACUCUAAUAGCAGUUGUAAAUAUUUGUGUAAUACAGUAAUCUGAUGUGUAAUCGGUAUUAAAAAUAUAUAUAUAUCAAGAUCAACAGACAAGGUUGAGCAAUGUGAGGGCAACAAUUCGAAUCUCCACAAAAGUAUUGUAGAGGUAAUUCCUUCCUCAAUUAUAUUGUAUAAUUGAGUGGAAACAAUUUUCUCCUUUGCGAAAUGUAAGUGGAGUAGACAUCCUUCAAAUAUUAGUGAGAGUAAAAUUUUUGAAAAUGUUUCAGAAGAUUUAAUAUAAAUUAAUAUGUGCAGUUGUGCAGUGCUUCAUAAGAUUUACUGUGAAUUAGUUCUAAUAGUUAUUUGAUUAUAAAUAUCAAUAAUAAUCUCAUAUAAUAUGAAUUGUAAUCUAAGUAAUAGUCUCGUAUAAUUAAAAAAAAAAUCAAAUUCAAUGGCUAAAAUUACCUAAAACAUUUUGAGCAUGGUGGAAUUAUUUGCAUGUUAAAAUAUAUUAUGAACACUCUUUUAUUUACUCAUUCAUUUUCAACAAGUUUUUAAACACACUUUCACUAAUGCCAAAAUAGUCCUUAAACCCCCUUAGUCACUUCAUCAUUUUCUUCUUCAACAAUUCAUCAUUGUUCUUCUAAAAAAAAUCUUGUACGCAUUCACAACGACUAAUUUAACAAAAACAUUUACGGAUAAACCAAAAAUAGAAAAGUAUAGGAUGAAAUACAAAUCUAGAAAUACAAAGAGCAAAUAAUUGAAUGAAAUAGAAGAAAGUCAAUGAAAACGACCAACUGUUGCAGGCUCUCAUUUUGGCAUGGUUUGUGGAAGUGACUAAGAAAAUGAUGUUAAAGAAGAAAAGGUACAUCCCGUGCGUGUUAGAAGCAAACAGUACUUUAUUUAAAAAAUUAAAUCGUCUUAAAUAAUAAUUAUUUACAGUAAGAUUAUUUUGUAAUAUAAAAUUAUCUUAAAAUAUGGCGUUAGAGUAUAUUUUAGAAUGGAAGUAGUCUCAUCAUUCAAGAAUUUGAAAAAAAGAAAAUUCCAUGUAUAAGUUAUUAACACUACAAGAACGACCAUAAACAAGUUUAAGUAAAUAGUAUUAUUUCGCUGAAUAAAGUAAGUUAUCUUGUUAGAAGGGUGUAUGGUCCAAUUUUGACUCUAUUUAGUGGUACUUUUUCUCAUUUCUUUCAUUUUGCUUUCCUAGUGUGUGGUAUGGGAUUUUCCUCAUCCUCAUUUAUCUCAUAUUGUGAUACAACAUUUUUCACUUCAGAUUUGAAAGUUAAAUUAAUUUGACUUAUCACUUGUAUGAUAAAAAAUUUAUAAUAUUUAUAGUAUUUUGUUAAUAUUAUUUAAAAAUCAUAUUUCUUACAUAUUUUUUAUUUUUAUUUAGAAUAGUAUAUCUUUUAAGCUGUAGAAUAAUCUCAAUAGUUUAGAUCAUUUGUCUUGCAUUGUGCGACUUCCAGUAACUUACGCUACGAAUACAUAUCGUUAUUAUACGUACCACUAUGUUGACAUCCAAACCUGCAUUACGUAUAUACAGUAUACCGUUAAUAAUUAUUAUACGUUGAACUACUUUGACUUUUCAAACUCGCAUUGCGAAUUGGCUGCAGGAAUCGAAAUUUUUAAGUGAAUAUAUAUACAUACGUAUAUGGUAGACCAAAGAUAAGCUGAGAGAAGUUGGAGGUAAAGUGUAAACGAAAACAAUUGAAGUUAUGGGUGACAUUGAAAAUGACGGGGUAACUGUAAGAGAGUUGUUUGAAGGUCAAGCUCAUCUGUAUAAGGGCAUCGUUAAGAAUUUAAGUUCUAUGUCAGUCAAAUGUGCGGUUGAGCUAGGCAUAGCGGACGCAAUUCACAGCCACGGACGACCAAUCACUCUGUCUGAGUUAGCCUCAGCUCUCAACAUUCAGCCCACAAAAACUCGUAGUCUAUUCCAUUUCAUGAGUCUGUUAGUUCACAUGGGCAUGUUUUCAAAAACCGAAGUUGACAACCACAACGAGCAAGAAGAAGCAUAUGGCCUCACGCCUACUUCGACCCUGCCAUCAAAGAUAAGCCCUACUGUUUGUCACCACUUGUUACUGGAUUGCUUGACCAAGAUUAUGUCUCUUCAUUCCAGCAUUUAAGUAGGUGGUUCAAAGGGAACGAUAUCACAUUAUGGGAAACUUUCCGCGGGUUGAAGUUUUGGGACUAUCUGAACCAGAACACUGCAUUAACCAAGCGGUUCAACCAAGCAAACAAUUCUUUCUAUCACUUUAUGACUUUUCAAAUAUCGCCCCUUGGGCUUUAGUCUAAUGGUGAACCACCACUCUUAAAGUUAAGAAUGACUAUGAGGGUAGUGGUUCGAGUCUUCAUAGGUUCAACCUCUCUCAAUUAAGCAAAAAAAUUAUGUGGAGUUAAUUUGUAAGUCUUUCUCCCUUGCGAAAUGCGAGUGGAGUAGAGACAUCCCUCAUCUCUGAGAUCCAUAUGUCUAGGCAUGUAUUUCAUAGAAUUAAUGUAAUAAUGUAAGUUCCAGUUAUAUAUCUGAUUGUAAAUAUCAGUGUAAUGUCUACUCUAAUAGCAGUUGUAAAUAUUUGUGUAAUACAGUAAUCUGAUGUGUAAUCGGUAUUAAAAAUAUAUAUAUAUCAAGAUCAACAACCAAGGCUGAGCAAUGUGAGGGCAACAAUUCGAAUCCCCACAAAAGUAUUGUAGGGGUAAUUCCUUCCUCAAUUAUAUUGUAUAAUUGAGUGGAAACAAUUUUCUCCUUUGCGAAAUGUAAGUGGAGUAGACAUCCUUCAAAUAUUAGUGAGAGUAAAAUUUUUGAAAAUGUUUCAGAAGAUUUAAUAUAAAUUAAUAUGUGCAGUUGUGCAGUGCUUCAUAAGAUUUACUGUGAAUUAGUUCUAAUAGUUAUUUGAUUAUAAAUAUCAAUAAUAAUCUCAUAUAAUAUGAAUUGUAAUCUAAGUAAUAGUCUCGUAUAAUUAAAAAAAAAAUCAAAUUCAAUGGCUAAAAUUACCUAAAACAUUUUGAGUAUGGUGGAAUUAUUUGCAUGUUAAAAUAUAUUAUGAACACUCUUUUAUUUACUCAUUCAUUUUCAACAAGUUUUUAAACACACUUUCACUAAUGCCAAAAUAGUCCUUAAACCCCCUUAGUCACUUCAUCAUUUUCUUCUUCAACAAUUCAUCAUUGUUCUUCUAAAAAAAAUCUUGUACACAUUCACAACGACUAAUUUAACAAAAACAUUUACGGAUAAACCAAAAAUAGAAAAGUAUAGGAUGAAAUACAAAUCUAGAAAUACAAAGAGCAAAUAAUUGAAUGAAAUAGAAGAAAGUCAAUGAAAACGACCAACUGUUGCAGGCUCUCAUUUUGGCAUGGUUUGUGGAAGUGACUAAGAAAAUGAUGUUAAAGAAGAAAAGGUACAUCCCGUGCGUGUUAGAAGCAAACAGUACUUUAUUUAAAAAAUUAAAUCGUCUUAAAUAAUAAUUAUUUACAGUAAGAUUAUUUUGUAAUAUAAAAUUAUCUUAAAAUAUGGCGUUAGAGUAUAUUUUAGAAUGGAAGUAGUCUCAUCAUUCAAGAAUUUGAAAAAAAGAAAAUUCCAUGUAUAAGUUAUUAACACUACAAGAACGACCAUAAACAAGUUUAAGUAAAUAGUAUUAUUUCGCUGAAUAAAGUAAGUUAUCUUGUUAGAAGGGUGUAUGGUCCAAUUUUGACUCUAUUUAGUGGUACUUUUUCUCAUUUCUUUCAUUUUGCUUUCCUAGUGUGUGGUAUGGGAUUUUCCUCAUCCUCAUUUAUCUCAUAUUGUGAUACAACAUUUUUCACUUCAGAUUUGAAAGUUAAAUUAAUUUGACUUAUCACUUGUAUGAUAAAAAAUUUAUAAUAUUUAUAGUAUUUUGUUAAUAUUAUUUAAAAAUCAUAUUUCUUACAUAUUUUUUAUUUUUAUUUAGAAUAGUAUAUCUUUUAAGCUGUAGAAUAAUCUCAAUAGUUUAGAUCAUUUGUCUUGCAUUGUGCGACUUCCAGUAACUUACGCUACGAAUACAUAUCGUUAUUAUACGUACCACUAUGUUGACAUCCAAACCUGCAUUACGUAUAUACAGUAUACCGUUAAUAAUUAUUAUACGUUGAACUACUUUGACUUUUCAAACUCGCAUUGCGAAUUGGCUGCAGGAAUCGAAAUUUUUAAGUGAAUAUAUAUACAUACGUAUAUGGUAGACCAAAGAUAAGCUGAGAGAAGUUGGAGGUAAAGUGUAAACGAAAACAAUUGAAGUUAUGGGUGACAUUGAAAAUGACGGGGUAACUGUAAGAGAGUUGUUUGAAGGUCAAGCUCAUCUGUAUAAGGGCAUCGUUAAGAAUUUAAGUUCUAUGUCAGUCAAAUGUGCGGUUGAGCUAGGCAUAGCGGACGCAAUUCACAGCCACGGACGACCAAUCACUCUGUCUGAGUUAGCCUCAGCUCUCAACAUUCAGCCCACAAAAACUCGUAGUCUAUUCCAUUUCAUGAGUCUGUUAGUUCACAUGGGCAUGUUUUCAAAAACCGAAGUUGACAACCACAACGAGCAAGAAGAAGCAUAUGGCCUCACGCCUACUUCGACCCUGCCAUCAAAGAUAAGCCCUACUGUUUGUCACCACUUGUUACUGGAUUGCUUGACCAAGAUUAUGUCUCUUCAUUCCAGCAUUUAAGUAGGUGGUUCAAAGGGAACGAUAUCACAUUAUGGGAAACUUUCCGCGGGUUGAAGUUUUGGGACUAUCUGAACCAGAACACUGCAUUAACCAAGCGGUUCAACCAAGCAAUGGCAAGCGAUUCUAAAAUGGCAACCUUGAUUGUCAAAGACUGCAAGCCAAUCUUUCAAGGGUUGCGCUCCCUGGUUGAUGUAGGAGGCGGAACGGGUGCAUUCGCGAGAAUCAUAUCUGAAGCAUUCCCCGGCAUCAAGUGCACAGUACUUGAACUCCCACAUGCUGUCACUGACAUGCCUCAGACUGAAAACUUGAAGUACGUAGAGGGUGACAUGUUUCAGUUUAUUCCUCCAGCAGACGCCUUUUUCUUCAAGGUAAAAGAAACACACACACGAGCGCCUUCUAAUGAGGGUUCUUGUGCUUUAUGAAAAUGUGGGAACGACUUUUUAACGUUCCCGCACUUUAAUGAACUACAGAAAUCUCUCAUUGAAUAUAUAUAUAUAUAUAGUCAUUAUAUUAUAUAUAUAUACAUUGGAAGAUGGUGUAUGCAUAUGCGUGAAAUAAUUUUAUGUAAUGGUGGGUAUUAAUUAUUAAAUGGGUGAUUGGCAUGCAGACGGUUUUUCAUUUAUUUGAUGACGAGGAUUGCUUGAAGCUAUUGAAGGAAUGCAGAGAAGCUAUCGCAAGCAAUGGCGAGAGAGGAAAGGUAUUAAUCGUCGAUAUUGUAAUCAAUGAAAAGGAAGAUGACCGUGAAUUAACAGAAGCAAAGCUCUUGUUUGACACUUUGAUGAACUUUAAUGUUGGUGGAAGGGAGAGAACUGAGCAAGAAUGGGAAAGUCUUUUCGUGAAUGCCGGUUUCACUCACUACAAAGUAGCUCCGAUAUUUGGUAUCAAGUCCCUCAUUGAAGUCUAUCCGUAAAGAAUUGAUCAGUCGCCCCAAUGUUCGAUAUUUGGCAUCAAAAUAAUUUCCUACACGCUCAUGCAGUCGUCGAAAUAAAUUUAAGAAUAAAGAAUUUGUACUCUGUUAUUGCCCCGAUCAUCUGCUUCUGAUGUUUUGACUUUGCUAAUAAAUUCACUAUCUUUCUCAAGUUUAUGUAAUUGAGAAGAAGAAAUUCAUAAAUCUGAGAUUUUAGAUGGGUGGGCAAAAUCGGGUUCGGAUCGGGGUCAGAUUAACCUACUGUAUUUCGGGUUAUUCGGGUUCUAAAAAAAAAAAGUCACUCGAACUCAAUCCGACUUUUGCAUUUUUUUAAUUUAUCUAGCUUCUUCGAUCUGGUUUGCUGAUACUUAUGCCCUAUAUCAGUAGUUUUGUUCUACAUUUGCUUGAGUUUGUGGAAUUGAGAUUGGAUGUCGAUUUGUACUCUGUUAUUGCCCCGAUCAUCUGCUUCUGAUGUUUUGACUUUGCUAAUAAAUUCAGUAUCUUUCUCAAGUUUAUGUAAUUGAGAAGAAGAAAUUCAUAAAUCUGAGAUUUUAGAUGGGUGGGCAAAAUCGGGUUCGGAUCGGGGUCAGAUUAACCUACUGUAUUUCGGGUUAUUCGGGUUCUAAAAAAAAAAAGUCACUCGAACUCAAUCCGACUUUUGCAUUUUUUUAAUUUAUCUAGCUUCUUCGAUCUGGUUUGCUGAUACUUAUGCCCUAUAUCAGUAGUUUUGUUCUACAUUUGCUUGAGUUUGUGGAAUUGAGAUUGGAUGUCAAGUAUUUAUGUCAUUUCAUCGUUCAAUUCUGGUUUUAUUUUUACUUAUUUAUUUUUGAGUGACUUGCUGAUGUGUAAGUUUGGAUCCUGUACACUGGUAUCUAGUUGCUGACGUCUGAUGAAAUUUUUUGAAGUAGAGACUUCAAAUUGUUUGAUGGAAUGCUGAUAGAAAAUGAAUACAAUCCUAAACUGGUGGGAAAUUGAUUGGUGAAACAGAUACGCAAUUAAAGUGAAAUUGAUAAAUAAUGAGAUAACAUAAUCCCACAAAGAUACUAGAAAUUUACGUGGUUCAUUUUUUAACAUAUAUCCACCGGUGAAGAUAGAAAGAAAAUAUUUUAAUAGUGAAAUAAUAAUUACAAAUAUUAUAAUAUUUUAUCUCAUUACCCAAAACUUCAAUACAUCUAAUUUCUCAAAUCACUUAAAUCACUAAAAAACUUUACAAUUUCAAUCUCUUUAAACUCUCUCUCCCUCUAAAUACAAUAAAUGCUUCUCACAAUUGGGUUGAUUUAGCUCUCUCUCAUCACUGCUAUUUAUAGGAAAGAUAGUGGCCAAAAGUCAGCAAUUACAGCUAACAAUUAUGGCAAAAAAUUUAGCAAUUUUUCACCACCAGCUAAGCACCGAAUUUGGUGCUUGAAAUGUCAAAGUCAAGCACCAAUUCGGUGCUGACUUUAACAAAAACUACCCUUGCUUUGCAAUUUCUAUUGGAGUUUUAUUUCAAGGAAGCCCUGCUGCUACUUGUAGGUAAUAAUCUAUUGAAUUAUAUAAUGAGUUGAUGUUUCCAUAAUUCUCUUAGAGAUGCAUUUACAUAAUUUAUUUUUUGAAACGGGUUAUUACUUAAAUUACUAUCCUAAAUCUUCCAGUCAUGCUAAUCCAGUGUUUCUUGCUCCAAACUAUCGGUUCAGCACAAAGUGAAAGGCUGAAAAGUUUUAGCGCUUACACGACGAAGGUUUUACAGCAUGGUCUUUUGACUAAAGCUAAUAUUUCCUGUUACAUUUGUUAUCCUCAGUUUCUUGUUGCAAUUAAAAGUUGAGGACCCUGCGUCUCCCAUCCGCUAUCAUGUUAUUUAUGUUCGACGCCACUAGAUUAGCUAAGUGAUUUUCAACUUUUGGUACGGGAGUGAAUCACAAGAUUUUGGAUUCCCUCUUGUUUGUGGUACUUUCUUUUUCUUUUCCCCCUUAAUAUAUAACAUUAAUAAUGAUGCUUCAUCUAGCCCUGCAAGCACUUUUUUUUUUUUGGAUUCAUUUGACUUUCAUUUAUUUCAUGUUAAUCUUUUGCUUAUAUUAGAUCGUCGAUUUCCGAAUUGCUUAGGGACAUAUAAUUAUAAUAAGUAAUAAUUAUGGGCGUACUAUGGAGAUCUUAGCAACUAGCAGCUUUGCGGGCAAAAGUGAAUUCUCAGAAGCUAUCAGUGAAGUUGGUGUUGAGGCACGUUCAAAUGGACAGAUUUUGGAGAUACGAAAUCUCAAGGUGUUCAAUUUUUUGGAUUUGAAGUCUGCAACCAAGAACUUCAAGCCUGAUAUUUUGUUGGGUGAAGGUGGUUUUGGGAUAAUGUACUGAGGUGGUUGCUAUUAAGAAAUUGAAGAAUGGCAGGUGUUUCUUUUUAAUUUACUCUUUCGAUUCUUAUUGAAAAGUCGAACUUUUAGGCAUCCGAAACAGAAUUUAAACUAAUUAAGAAAAAUGAUUAUUGUGGGUUAAUUGGAUUAAUUUUUUUGAACCCAAUUAAUAAUUGAGUUAGGGUUGGAUCAAUAACGAUGAACCCACCUAACUCAACCCAAUUCAUAUAAAUAAUAAUAAAAAUAUGGUACCAAAGACCUAAACGGUUAAUCUAAUUUUUAACUCUUUUUAUUAUUAUAUAAGAGAGACAAUUUCAUUCUCAUAUAUACUACUCUAUUUUCUAAUUGCAAAAUUAAAAUCACGCUCUCAUAUAAGUAAAUAUAUUAUCUUAUAAGUUUAAUUUUGAAAGUAAGUUAGUUUCAGUUUAUAGUUAUUUUUUAGUAAAUACUUAAUGGUACAUAAUUAUAUAUCACUUCAGUUUGUUAUGGGAUACAAUGCUAACUAAUUAUCUAAAAGGUCUGGAUUUGAAAUUUGAAAAAAAGACGCGGGAAACGAGAAUAAAGUCUCGAAGCUCAUUGUUGAAAUUUUUUUAAUUUGAUUUUAAUAAGAUAGUUGGUCUUUUAGCUUUCUUUAUCGAACACUAAAUAGUGAAUAAAUUUUCAUGUCAUGAUAGAUUUAUGUUUAAUUUUAAGAAGUUCCAUUUCAAAUUUCAUGUCUUUUUCUUUAUUUAGCUUUUAAUUUUAAUAUGGCUCAGAACCCGAUCAAACCAGGUUUGUUAUGGGAUACAAUGCUAACUAAUUAUCUAAAAGGUCUGGAUUUGAAAUUUGAAAUAAAGACGCGGGAAACGAGAAUAAAGUCUCGACGCUCAUUGUUGAAAUUUUUUUAAUUUGAUUUUAAUAAGAUAGUUGGUCUUUUAGCUUUCUUUAUCGAACACUAAAUAGUGAAUAAAUUUUCAUGUCAUGAUAGAUUUAUGUUUAAUUUUAAGAAGUUCCAUUUCAAAUUUCAUGUCUUUUUCUUUAUGAGUGGAGCUAUUGGCACCCCUACAUUAUUCUUCCAAAACCCCACUUUAAAUAAAAUUACAAUUAAAGACAAAUGAAAAUUAAAUAUAUAUAGAUUUUUUUCCAGCAAAUUACUUAUUUCAUAAUAAUCCUUUAAAAAAAAUCCUAUAUGUUACUUCCUAUUUAACUAAAUAAAUUGUACAAAUUUAGAAUAAUCUAUUGUUCUCUUUUAAUUACUUAUUGAUUAAAUAUUUUUAUACUUAAAAUUACUUUGAAAUUAUAAUUUGAAAUAUGUGUUAUUUCAGCCAAUGAUUAACAUUAAAAAACUUAUUACCCAUAUAACUUUUUAAUUUGUGUGUAGAUUAAUAAUAAAAUUGAAAAUAAUUAAAAAAUAGCACAAUAAUACUUUGAGUUUUAACAAUUAAACAAAUCAAAUGAAAAUUGAGAACUUAGAAAAGUGUAUAUAAAAAAAAGGGCAUUUUCAAAAAUAAAAAUAAAUAUAACUAAAAUGCGGGUUUUUUCAGGAACUUAGAGGGGUCUCAAUAGCUCCACUCUUUCUUUAUUUAGCUUUUAAUUUUAAUAUGGUUCAGAACCCGAUUAAACCAGCCCAACCGAACCCAACCUUACGAUUUAAGGGUUAGAUUGGAUUGAGUUAAAUAUAUUUAUUUAGUUGGAUCAUAUUGAUUUUAUCUCAACUUAUUCAACAGUGGGCUGAAUUGGAUUUUCACAAACCCUAUCCAACUCAACUCAUGCCCAUGAACUAUUGAGCCAAGCAAUUUUUUCUAUCCCUUUUAUGACUUUUCAAAUAUCAAGAUGAAUGGGCAGAAUUACCUAAAAUAUUUUAAGCAUAGGGAAAUUAUUUGCAUCUUAAAAUAUAUUGUGCACACAAUGUUAUUAGCUCACCAUUUUGAAGAAGUUUUUAAACAUACUUUCACUAAUCCCAAAAAUAGUCCUUAAUAUAAUCAAAUCCCCCUAGUCACAUUAGCAUUUUCUUCUAAAAUAAUCUAUUACAAAUUCAUGAAAUAGAAAGAGCAAAUAGAAGAAAAUCAAUAAAAACGACCAAUUGUGGCAUGGACUCAUUUUGGCAUAGAUUAAUUGUUUCAAGUGAGUAAGAAAAUGAUGUUCAAGAAGAAACGGUAGAUCCCGCGAGUGUUAAAAGUAAACAGUACUUUAUUUAAAAAAANNNNNNNNNNNNNNNNNNNNNNNNNNNNNNNNNNNNNNNNNNNNNNNNNNNNNNNNNNNNNNNNNNNNNNNNNNNNNNNNNNNNNNNNNNNNNNNNNNNNNNNNNNNNNNNNNNNNNNNNNNNNNNNNNNNNNNNNNNNNNNNNNNNNNNNNNNNNNNNNNNNNNNNNNNNNNNNNNNNNNNNNNNNNNNNNNNNNNNNNNNNNNNNNNNNNNNNNNNNNNNNNNNNNNNNNNNNNNNNNNNNNNNNNNNNNNNNNNNNNNNNNNNNNNNNNNNNNNNNNNNNNNNNNNNNNNNNNNNNNNNNNNNNNNNNNNNNNNNNNNNNNNNNNNNNNNNNNNNNNNNNNNNNNNNNNNNNNNNNNNNNNNNNNNNNNNNNNNNNNNNNNNNNNNNNNNNNNNNNNNNNNNNNNNNNNNNNNNNNNNNNNNNNNNNNNNNNNNNNNNNNNNNNNNNNNNNNNNNNNNNNNNNNNNNNNNNNNNNNNNNNNNNNNNNNNNNNNNNNNNNCUUGGCCGUACAGCAGUUUAAAAAUCAUAUUUAUUACAUAUUAUUUAUUUUUAUUUAUAAAUAUAAUAUUUUUUUUAAUCAAUAACCAUCAGUUUUAAGCUACACAACCUCAAUAGCGCCUUAAGAUCAAUUUUCUUACAUUGUUACAACUUCUAGUAACUCUCAUUACGAAUACAUAUUGUUAUUAUAUGGAUUACUAUGUUGAUCCGCAUUGCCGAUAUACAGUAUACCGCUAUUAAUUAUUAUAUGUUUAACUAGUUUGACUUUUCAAACUCGCAUUGCGAAUUGGCCGCAGAAAUCGAAAUUUUCAAGUGAAUCUAUAUAUACACAUACACAUAUGGUAGACCAUAAGGAAACUGGUAGGCUUAGUCCUGAGAGAAGUUAGGGGUAAAGUGUAGACGAAAACAAUUGAAGUUAUGGGUGACAUUGAAAAUCAAGGGGUCACUCUAAGAGAGAUGUUUGAAGGUCAAGUUCAUCUGAAAAAGGGUGUCAUUAAAAUUUUAAGUUCCAUGUCACUCAAAUGUGCGGUUGAGCUAGGCAUAGCGGACGUAAUUCACAGCCACGGACGACCGAUCACUCUUUCUGAGUUGGCCUCAGCUCUUAACAUUCAGCCUACAAAAACUCGUAGUCUAUUCCAUUUCAUGCGUCUGUUCGUUCACGUGGGCUUGUUUUUAAAAACCAAAGUUGUCAACCACAACGAACAAGAAGAAGCUGUUUACUUUGUUUUGGAAUCGGAAUCAAAACAGAUUAGAUUGUAACAAAUUACUAAAAAGUACUUAAUGGAUAAUUGUCUAUAAUUAUAUUAAUAAUUAUUAUAAAAAUAUAUUAACUAAUAAUAUUAAUAUUAAUUAUUUAAUUAUAAUAAUAUAUUAAUUAUUGUGAUUAUUUAUUCAAAAAUUAUAAUUAUUAAUAAUUAUUGUUAAUAAUGUAUCAAUAUAUUACUUAAUUAUAAUAAUAUAUUAAUUAAGUAUAAAUGAGGACAAAGGGGGUAUUUUUAAUUUCACGUAGGGGCAAAAUGGUCAAUUCUAGUAAUGGGAGACUCACUCCGACCCUCUCCCUUGGGAAUGAGUCUCCCAUUCCUCAUUCCCAAAUUGUGGUGGGCCCCAUAAUUUUGACUCUGAUUUUUGACUCAAUUUUGCGAAGUAAACGCUACCAAUGAUUCUGAUUUCGGAUUCUGAUUCACUUAUCCGAGAAGUAAAAGCAACAUAAAUGUGUAUGAAUAAUUGAUACCUAUGAAUAGUUUUGGGAGUUUUAGUUAGGAGUCAUUUAUUGAAGAUGUUUAGCAAUUAAAGAUCUCUGUCUCAGUAGUUUUCCCAAUCAAAAUCAAGAAGCAAAACAACUUGCCAUUUUUCUACUUGAUAAUUAAAUCCCUUUUAUGACUUUUCAAAUAUCAAGAUCAAUGGACAUAAUUACCUAAAAUAUUUUAAGCAUAGGGAAAUUAUUUGCAUCUUAAAAUAUAUUGUGAACACACUGUUAUUGGCUCACCGUUUUGAAGAAGUUUUUAAACAUACUUUCACUAAUCCCAAAAAUAGUCCUUAAUAUAAUCAAAUCCCCCUAGUCACUUUAGCAUGUUCUUCUUCAAUAAUUCAUCAUUUUCUUCUAAAAUAAUCUAUUACAAAUUCAUGAAAUAGAAAGAGCAAAUAGAAGAAAAUCAAUAAAAACGACCAAUUGUGGCAUGGACUCAUUUUGGCAUAGAUUAAUUGUUUCAAGUGAGUAAGAAAAUGAUGUUCAAGAAGAAACGGUAGAUCCCGCGAGUGUUAAAAGUAAACAGUACUUUAUUUAAAAAAAGUAUUAUUUCGCUGAAUAAAGUAAGUUAUCUUGUUAGAAGGGUGUAUGGUCCAAUUUUGACUCUAUUUAGUGGUACUUUUUCUCAUUUCUUUCAUUUUGCUUUCCUAGUGUGUGGUAUGGGAUUUUCCUCAUCCUCAUUUAUCUCAUAUUGUGAUACAACAUUUUUCACUUCAGAUUUGAAAGUUAAAUUAAUUUGACUUAUCACUUGUAUGAUAAAAAAUUUAUAAUAUUUAUAGUAUUUUGUUAAUAUUAUUUAAAAAUCAUAUUUCUUACAUAUUUUUUAUUUUUAUUUAGAAUAGUAUAUCUUUUAAGCUGUAGAAUAAUCUCAAUAGUUUAGAUCAUUUGUCUUGCAUUGUGCGACUUCCAGUAACUUACGCUACGAAUACAUAUCGUUAUUAUACGUACCACUAUGUUGACAUCCAAACCUGCAUUACGUAUAUACAGUAUACCGUUAAUAAUUAUUAUACGUUGAACUACUUUGACUUUUCAAACUCGCAUUGCGAAUUGGCCGCAGAAAUCGAAAUUUUCAAGUGAAUCUAUAUAUACACAUACACAUAUGGUAGACCAUAAGGAAACUGGUAGGCUUAGUCCUGAGAGAAGUUAGGGGUAAAGUGUAGACGAAAACAAUUGAAGUUAUGGGUGACAUUGAAAAUCAAGGGGUCACUCUAAGAGAGAUGUUUGAAGGUCAAGUUCAUCUGAAAAAGGGUGUCAUUAAAAUUUUAAGUUCCAUGUCACUCAAAUGUGCGGUUGAGCUAGGCAUAGCGGACGUAAUUCACAGCCACGGACGACCGAUCACUCUUUCUGAGUUGGCCUCAGCUCUUAACAUUCAGCCUACAAAAACUCGUAGUCUAUUCCAUUUCAUGCGUCUGUUCGUUCACGUGGGCUUGUUUUUAAAAACCAAAGUUGUCAACCACAACGAACAAGAAGAAGCCUAUGGCCUCACGCCUACUUCUACCCUGCUCAUCAAAGAUAAUUCUUACUGUUUGUCACCACUUGUUACUGGAUUGCUUGACCAAGAUUUUGUCUCUUCAUUCCAGUAUUUAAGUAGUUGGUUCAAAGCGAACGAUCUCACGUUAUGGGAAACUGUACGCGGGUUGAAGUUUUGGGACUAUCUGAACCAGAACCCUGGAUUAAGCCAGCAGUUCAACCAAGUAAUUGAAAGUGAUUCUGUAAUGGCAACCUUGCUUGUCAAAGACUGCAGGCCAAUCUUUCAAGGGUUGCGCUCCCUGGUUGAUGUAGGAGGUGGAACGGGUGCAUUCGCGAGAAUCAUAUCUGAAGCAUUCCCCGGCAUCAAGUGCACAGUACUUGACCUCCCACAUGCUGUCAC